CUUAACCUGGGAAUGGCGUUUUGAACUGGCAGUCUAGAGUGCGUCAGAGGGGGGGUGGAAUUCCACGUGUAGCAGUGAAAUGCGUAGAUAUGUGGAGGAACACCAAUGGCGAAGGCAGCCCCCUGGGAUGACACUGACGCUCAUGUACGAAAGCGUGGGUAGCAAACAGGAUUAGAUACCCUGGUAGUCCACGCCCUAAACGAUGUUAACUGGUUGUUGGGGGAGUGAAAUCCCUUAGUAACGAAGCUAACGCGUGAAGUUGACCGCCUGGGGAGUACGGUCGCAAGAUUAAAACUCAAAGGGAUUGACGGGGACCCGCACAAGCGGUGGAUGAUGUGGAUUAAUUCGAUGCAACGCGAAAAACCUUACCUACCCUUGACAUGUCCAGAAUCCUGCAGAGAUGCGGGAGUGCCCGAAAGGGAAUUGGAACACAGGUGCUGCAUGGCUGUCGUCAGCUCGUGUCGUGAGAUGUUGGGUUAAGUCCCGCAACGAGCGCAACCCUUAUCAUUAGUUGCUACGCAAGGGCACUCUAAUGAGACUGCCGGUGACAAACCGGAGGAAGGUGGGGAUGACGUCAAGUCCUCAUGGCCCUUAUGGGUAGGGCUUCACACGUCAUACAAUGGUCGGUACAGAGGGUUGCCAAGCCGCGAGGUGGAGCCAAUCCCAGAAAGCCGAUCGUAGUCCGGAUUGUUCUCUGCAACUCGAGAGCAUGAAGUCGGAAUCGCUAGUAAUCGCGGAUCAGCAUGUCGCGGUGAAUACGUUCCCGGGUCUUGUACACACCGCCCGUCACACCAUGGGAGUGGAAUCUGCCAGAAGUAGGUAGCCUAACCGCAAGGAGGGCGCUUACCACGGUGGGUUUCAUGACUGGGGUGAAGUCGUAACAAGGGUAAC
This 891-nucleotide ribosomal RNA is filed under the name uncultured bacterium. RNAcentral's name for it is "bacterial SSU rRNA". It matches the Rfam family "Bacterial small subunit ribosomal RNA", at positions 608 to 1501 of the family's 1533-position model. The record is from RNAcentral.